UACGUAGGGUGCGAGCGUUAAUCGGAAUUACUGGGCGUAAAGCGUGCGCAGGCGGCUUUGCAAGACAGAUGUGAAAUCCCCGGGCUCAACCUGGGAACUGCAUUUGUGACUGCAAGGCUAGAGUACGGCAGAGGGGGGUAGAAUUCCACGUGUAGCAGUGAAAUGCGUAGAUAUGCGGAGGAACACCGAUGGCGAAGGCAAUCCCCUGGGCCUGCACUGACGCUCAUGCACGAAAGCGUGGGGAGCAAACAGG
RNAcentral lists this ribosomal RNA (253 nucleotides) under uncultured bacterium. RNAcentral's name for it is "partial 16S ribosomal RNA". It matches the Rfam family "Bacterial small subunit ribosomal RNA", at positions 524 to 776 of the family's 1533-position model. The record is from RNAcentral.